Molecule: unclassified non-coding RNA, 232 nt
Filed under: Hevea brasiliensis (rubber tree)
Lineage: Eukaryota; Viridiplantae; Streptophyta; Magnoliopsida; Malpighiales; Euphorbiaceae
Source: RNAcentral
GUUGCCCCCACCUAAUGUGACAGGGGCCCUCCACAUAGGUCAUGCUCUUACUGCCGCAAUCGAGGAUGCCAUUAUUCGAUGGCGGAGAAUGUCCGGAUACAACACCUUGUGGGUUCCUGGGACAGACCAUGCGGGGAUAGCUACUCAGGUGGUUGUAGAAAAGAAAAUAAUGCGAGAAAGGAAUUUAACCAGGCAUGAUAUUGGUCGGGAGAAAUUUAUUUCUGAAGUUUGG